This is a long non-coding RNA of Athene cunicularia (burrowing owl), 1472 nucleotides long. RefSeq lists it as uncharacterized. The record is from RefSeq and is a predicted model, not a curated record. NCBI's taxonomy places the organism in Eukaryota, Metazoa, Chordata, Aves, Strigiformes, Strigidae. The transcript has 3 exons.
GGUUUGAACUAGAUGACUUUUAAAGGUCCCUUCCAACCCAGGCUGUUCUAUGACUCUGAUUCUAUGAUUUUAACAAAUGUAUACUAAUGGUAUUUGUAAUUUAAUACUACUAGACUGAGGACUAUUUCAGUUAAAUCAUUAUCCUACAGAAAGAUUCCAGGGGAUAUAGGGGACUAGAAAUGCUGACAAAGUUAUUUACAGCAAUCUACUAGUAUCACCAGCUGCUUCAGUUUUACAGCCUGAUACCCACCACUCCAGCUCUGUUGGAGUGUUAACUCUCUGAUUAUUUCUGUGUGUACCAGGAUCCUCUCCAUCUUUGAAUGUCCAUAUUUCAGCCCCAGGUAGAUAUAAUUUACUUGUUCUGCAUGUCUUGUCCUUCUAACAUUUUCCUCUAAUUUUUCCAAAGACUCAGAAGAAAGGCACAGGAUAAAAUCAUGCUGACUGGGCUGAAGCAAGCCAUGCCAUCAUCUUUCCUGGACUACCUGUGCUAGAUAAUUCUCUAAAAGCCAGUCAUAAAUGUUGAAUCCACUUAUAGACACCACUGAGGAGAAAGUUCGAGCUUGGCUUCAGAAUUGUGCCUGGGGCUGGAUAUUGAUGUAUGAAAUCUCAGCUUGGAAACAAAUCAUCGUUUGUACAAGAUUGCAAAGAAAUCCAAUUGGCUGGAGGGACCUCGUCAGAUCUGUUGCAGCGAUUGCCUCCACGGGAGAACUGCAAGGUGGUGUCAUUCAGCCCAAAGGUGGCAGAUUUUGCAGGGGAGAUGGAGGAGCUCGUAUGGGUCUGUAUUUGUUUGGUGCUUACAUGUGAGGGGCUGUGUGCUGGACACCUUUGGCAGCUCUAUGCUCAGGCUUCAUCUUUCAUGUGUUAGGCUGUCUGUUGCAAGAAACAAAUAAAUAAAAUUGUCAGUUUGAGAUCUGUCAUAUUUAUCAGCCUGUCCCCAGACAGAGUGCUUAUGGUUGAGAAUGUUUCUUGGGAGGAUAAAAGAUUUUCACUUUAUUUACAGAAUAAGCCCUGUUUCUGCUCCCAGGUUUAAGACAGGCAUUACAAGUGUUGGUCUUCUUCUACCAGCUUUGGGCUUCAGGUUUGCAGCUAAGAGAAGCCCAGUGCUUGAAAAGGAAUCAGGCAGGUCCUCCCUCGGCUCAGGCAGGAAUUCAAGGAGCUACUUCUUCCCAGGAGGGCACUUAGCAAUGAGGAAAAGCAGAGCCAGGGCUGGCCAAAAGUCCUGUGUAUCUACUUCACUGGCACACUUCAAGUUAUUCUAAACUGCACUAAGGGGAUUUCACAAGCCCUCCAAGAGCUCCUUCCCUCUGUCCUACUGUUGCAUUCAAAAUGGAUGGAGCAAGAAAUGUUCCCAUCGAACCUCUUUUUCCUUCCAGUGAAAUAGUUGUGUGCAUAUCAUCCAGCAAGACUCACACAAGGCGGCAGUCCGUGGGAGGUGUGCACUCUGAUGGGCUUUCUGGGACUAUCAGAAGCUC